AGCAGCCGCGGUAAUUCCAGCUCCAAUAGCGUAUAUUAAAGUUGUUGCAGUUAAAAAGCUCGUAGUUGAAUUUCGGGAUCAAUUUGCUGGUCGUGCCUCUGGUACGUACUGGUAUUAUUGGUUUCUCCCUUCUGACGAACCAUGAUGUUAUUAAUUUGAUGUCGUGGAGAAUCAGGACUGUUACUUUGAAAAAUUAGAGUGUUUAAAGCAGGCAUUAGCUUGAAUACAUUAGCAUGGAAUAAUGAAACAGGACGUUUUGAUCCUAUUUUGUUGGUUUCUAGGAUUGACGUAAUGAUUAAUAGGGAUAGUUGGGGGCAUUAGUAUUCAAUUGUCAGAGGUGAAAUUCUUGGAUUUAUUGAAGACUAACUACUGCGAAAGCAUUUGCCAAGGAUGUUUUCAUUAAUCAAGAACGAAAGUU
RNAcentral lists this ribosomal RNA (418 nucleotides) under uncultured Glomus. Its description in RNAcentral is "SSU rRNA". It matches the Rfam family "Eukaryotic small subunit ribosomal RNA", at positions 569 to 991 of the family's 1831-position model. Lineage: Eukaryota; Fungi; Glomeromycota; Glomeromycetes; Glomerales; Glomeraceae. The record is from RNAcentral.